This 261-nucleotide ribosomal RNA is filed under the name uncultured archaeon. RNAcentral's name for it is "partial 16S ribosomal RNA". It matches the Rfam family "Archaeal small subunit ribosomal RNA", at positions 748 to 1009 of the family's 1478-position model. The record is from RNAcentral.
UAGCCGUAAACGAUACUCGCUAGGUGUCGGCCACGGUGCGACCGUUGUCGGUGCCGUAGGGAAGCCGUGAAGCGAGCCACCUGGGAAGUACGGCCGCAAGGCUGAAACUUAAAGGAAUUGGCGGGGGAGCACCGCAACGGGAGGAGCUUGCGGUUUAAUUGGAUUCAACGCCGGAAAUCUUACCGGGACCGACAGCAACAUGAAGGCCAAGCUGAAGACUUUGCCGGAUUAGCUGAGAGGAGGUGCAUGGCGUAGUCGUGU